UACGUAGGGACCAAGCGUUGUUCGGAUUUACUGGGCGUAAAGGGCGCGUAGGCGGCUUAACAAGUCACUUGUGAAAUCUCCGGGCUUAACUCGGAACGGCCAAGUGAAACUGUUAUGCUAGAGUGCGGAAGGGGCAAUCGGAAUUCUUGGUGUAGCGGUGAAAUGCGUAGAUAUCAAGAGGAACACCUGAGGUGAAGACGGGUUGCUGGGCCGACACUGACGCUGAUGCGCGAAAGGUAGGGGAGCAAACGGG
RNAcentral lists this ribosomal RNA (253 nucleotides) under uncultured bacterium. RNAcentral describes it as "partial 16S ribosomal RNA". It matches the Rfam family "Bacterial small subunit ribosomal RNA", at positions 524 to 776 of the family's 1533-position model. The record is from RNAcentral.